UUGGGUGGCACGAAGUCAGCGGCUUGACGCGGUCGGACCACCGUCGGGGCACCUUCGGCAAACCGACCAACGUAAAAAAGCUGUCGGUCUGCCGGCGUUUCUUGGGUGGCAAGCCACCAGCGGCUUGCCCCUGCUGGACCACCGAUGGUACACCAGUGGCAAACCGCCCCAGCAAACAAUGACCUGGCGGUCUGCCGGCGGUUUUUGGGUGGCACAAAGUCAGCGGCUUGACGCGGUCGGACCACCGUCGGGGCACCUUCGGCAAACCGACCAACGUAAAAAAGCUGUCUGUCUCCCGGCGUUUCUUGGGUGGCAAGCAACCAGCGGCUUGCCCCUGCCCACCGUUGGUACACCAGUGGCAAACUGCUAGGUUACUGAAACUAAGAAUUUUAAAAAUCUUAAGAAAAUACAUGAAAAACAAUAUGAGACUGCAUAUAGGGCUUAUUUAACGAAAUGCAUACAUAUUUUUUUAAUAUUUCAGUUUAAAAGAAUUUUAAGGAUAGAAUAAAAAAUGAGAGAUAGUGUUUGAUACAAUGUAGUCCACGUGCAGGCGUGGUAAUUUGGACAUUUAUAGACAACAAAACGAGUUUGUGAUUUCAUAAUCAUUUGAGGAGAUUUUAAAUUGUUGUAGUGAUUAUGUCAAUGUGUGAAUUUGCCAUGACGCGUGUGCUGUGCGUGCCGAACACGUGCCCUUUUUGGCUUGUUCGACUUCAUGCGGCGCUGCAAGAACCGACAGCUGUAUGACGUCAAAGUACCGCGAGAACGAUUCGAGAACUCAUACGAAGUGUAAUUUCGUCUCGCUCUCGCGGCACUUUAACGUCAUGCGUCUGUCAGUUCUAGCGGGGCCGCAGGCAGGAAGUCGAACAGCCGUCUUUCCCUCAAUACGGAUUACCAUGAGGUGGGACUGACGAAGCUCCUCUUUCACGGGUUUCUUUACUGUUUUCAGAUUUUCCUUGCUGAUAUCCGUGCAGCAGAGUCAAAGCAGACCUGUCAGAAAACAUCUCUAAGUUGCUAUGAAUCUCAUAACUAGAUACACAUCAUGAGAUAACUAGAGCUUAUGGCUCUGUUUGGAUCCAGCCUCACUUGUGAAGAAUUCAGAUGACGUAAACACUCACAAAGACAUUAUAUGAUGGCAUCUAUAGAUGGACAUACACAACUGCCAAAUGUAACAUAUUGUUAUUACUGCACCAAAGCGCAACCCUACAGAUUUUCAACCCACUUAAUAUUUUUACAAAUACAAUAUAUGUUUAUAUUUGAAAAAAAUAUUCUUUAGCUAAUUUUACUGAUUUAUUUCCAUUUAUUUGUCCACAAUACUCUGCCAAAAUGAUGUUUUGCAUCAUCCAAAUAUUGUUAAUGUACAUAUUACAGACAUUGUAACAACACAAAGUGGGUUGAAAAAGUUUCUUCUUCUAAGUGCAGUAACUACGCAAACACUAAAACCGAGAAAAAAGUUCUUAAAGUGUUUUACACCAGCGGGUCAAACUUGUUACUGCAAUUUUGGCAAACACAUUUCUCUGAUGGGACAAAAUUAAACCAGGAGACUUUGUCACAAGACAACAGAUCUCACAAAGCCCAUUUCAACCUUCACCUCAAUUUUGACCAAAUGCAUAGUUACUGCGCUUUGGCUUUGUUGGGCAGUAUAGUAGUAUUAUAGUAAUGCUGCAGUGAAACCAUGGUAACCAUAUAUUUUUAAAUCAUGGUAAAGUUUGUGGUUACUAAAAUGUAGUACUAUAAGCCUAUGCUGUUGUAAGAGAAUGUUUAUUCUUUAUUAUUGUUGUAAAAUCAUGGUUGAUUUUAUAUUUACCAUGUGUUACUGCAAAUGAUGGUAAAAUCAUGGAUAACUUUGCAUGGGUACAGAAAGGUGUAAACUGGUUGUUUUUAUUUGUAAGUCAUGUUGGUUUUAAUGCAUGUGAUAAAUGUAUAUGCAUUUGAAUAUUUAUUCUGUUUACUGACAAUAAUAAAUUUGCAGUUGCUGAUGUAAA
Molecule: non-coding RNA, 1982 nt
Organism: Paramisgurnus dabryanus
Lineage: Eukaryota; Metazoa; Chordata; Actinopteri; Cypriniformes; Cobitidae
Source: RefSeq, a predicted model, not a curated record